RNAcentral lists this ribosomal RNA (255 nucleotides) under uncultured bacterium. RNAcentral describes it as "partial 16S ribosomal RNA". It matches the Rfam family "Bacterial small subunit ribosomal RNA", at positions 524 to 776 of the family's 1533-position model. The record is from RNAcentral.
GACAGAGGGUGCAAACGUUGCUCGGAAUCACUGGGCGUAAAGGGCGUGUAGGCGGGAAGGAAAGUCAGAUGUGAAAUCCCCAGGCUCAACCUGGGAACUGCAUUUGAAACUCCCUUUCUUGAGUACCGGAGAGGAAAGUGGAAUUCCUGGUGUAGAGGUGAAAUUCGUAGAUAUCAGGAGGAACACCAGUGGCGAAGGCGGCUUUCUGGACGGUAACUGACGCUGGAGACGCGAAAGCCGUGGGGAGCAAACAGG